RNAcentral lists this ribosomal RNA (422 nucleotides) under uncultured archaeon. RNAcentral's name for it is "partial 16S ribosomal RNA". It matches the Rfam family "Archaeal small subunit ribosomal RNA", at positions 323 to 746 of the family's 1478-position model. The record is from RNAcentral.
CUACGGGUCGCACCAGUUAAGAAUCUUCUGCAAUGCGCGCAAGCGUGACAGAGCGAGCCAAAGUGCGUUUCAAAUUGAAACGCUUUUUUCAGAUGUAAAAAGUCUGGAGAAUAAGGACUGGGUAAGACGAGUGCCAGCCGCCGCGGUAAUACUCGCGGUCCAAAUCGCAUCCAUUUUUAUUGGGUCUAAAACAUCCGUAGCCUGUUUGGUAAGUUCCUUGUGAAAUUCUAUGUCUCAAGCAUAGAGCGUGCAAGGAGUACUGCCUCGCUAGAGACUGGAAGACGUGGGAAGUACGUUCGAAGUAGCGGUAAAAUGUUUUAAUCUCGAGCGGACUCACAAUAGCGAAGGCAUCCUACGAGGACAGUUCUGACAGUAAGGGAUGAAGGCUAGGGGCGCAAAACGGAUUAGAUACCCGGGUAGUC